AGUACAAGUCACAGUACCUCCUU
This 23-nucleotide small nuclear RNA is filed under the name Arabidopsis thaliana (thale cress). RNAcentral describes it as "snRNA_00535". Lineage: Eukaryota; Viridiplantae; Streptophyta; Magnoliopsida; Brassicales; Brassicaceae. The record is from RNAcentral.